CGCUGGCGGCAGGCCUAACACAUGCAAGUCGAACCUUUACAGGAAGCAGCUUGCUGCUUUGCUGACGAGUGGCGGACGGGUGAGUAAUGUCUGGGAAACUGCCCGAUGGAGGGGGAUAACUACUGGAGACGGUAGCUAAUACCGCAUAACGUCGCAAGACCAAAGAGGGGGACCUUCGGGCCUCUUGCCAUCGGAUGUGCCCAGAUGGGAUUAGCUAGUAGGUGGGGUAACGGCUCACCUAGGCGACGAUCCCUAGCUGGUCUGAGAGGAUGACCAGCCACACUGGAACUGAGACACGGUCCAGACUCCUACGGGAGGCAGCAGUGGGGAAUAUUGCACAAUGGGCGCAAGCCUGAUGCAGCCAUGCCGCGUGUAUGAAGAAGGCCUUCGGGUUGUAAAGUACUUUCAGCGGGGAGGAAGGGAGUAAAGUUAAUACCUUUGCUCAUUGACGUUACCCGCAGAAGAAGCACCGGCUAACUCCGUGCCAGCAGCCGCGGUAAUACGGAGGGUGCAGGCGUUAAUCGGAAUUACUGGGCGUAAAGCGCACGCAGGCGGUUUGUUAAGUCAGAUGUGAAAUCCCCGGGCUCAACCUGGGAACUGCAUCUGAUACUGGCAAGCUUGAGUCUCGUAGAGGGGGGUAGAAUUUCAGGUGUAGCGGUGAAAUGCGUAGAGAUCUGGAGGAAUACCGGUGGCGAAGGCGGCCCCCUGGACGAAGACUGACGCUCAGGUGCGAAAGCGUGGGGAGCAAACAGGAUUAGAUACCCUGGUAGUCCACGCCGUAAACGAUGUCGACUUGGAGGUUGUGCCCUUGAGGCGUGGCUUCCGGAGCUAACGCGUUAAGUCGACCGCCUGGGGAGUACGGCCGCAAGGUUAAAACUCAAAUGAAUUGACGGGGGCCCGCACAAGCGGUGGAGCAUGUGGUUUAAUUCGAUGCAACGCGAAGAACCUUACCUGGUCUUGACAUCCACGGAAGUUUUCAGAGAUGAGAAUGUGCCUUCGGGAACCGUGAGACAGGUGCUGCAUGGCUGUCGUCAGCUCGUGUUGUGAAAUGUUGGGUUAAGUCCCGCAACGAGCGCAACCCUUAUCCUUUGUUGCCAGCGGUCCGGCCGGGAACUCAAAGGAGACUGCCAGUGAUAAACUGGAGGAAGGUGGGGAUGACGUCAAGUCAUCAUGGCCCUUACGACCAGGGCUACACACGUGCUACAAUGGCGCAUACAAAGAGAAGCGACCUCGCGAGAGCAAGCGGACCUCAUAAAGUGCGUCGUAGUCCGGAUUGGAGUCUGCAACUCGACUCCAUGAAGUCGGAAUCGCUAGUAAUCGUGGAUCAGAAUGCCACGGUGAAUACGUUCCCGGGCCUUGUACACACCGCCCGUCACACCAUGGGAGUGGGUUGCAAAAGAAGUAGGUAGCUUAACCUUCGGGAGGGCGCUUACCACUUUG
This 1440-nucleotide ribosomal RNA is filed under the name uncultured organism. Its description in RNAcentral is "SSU rRNA". It matches the Rfam family "Bacterial small subunit ribosomal RNA". The record is from RNAcentral.